This 532-nucleotide long non-coding RNA is filed under the name Homo sapiens (human). RNAcentral describes it as "HSALNT0202112". The record is from RNAcentral. Lineage: Eukaryota; Metazoa; Chordata; Mammalia; Primates; Hominidae.
GUAAAAUUAUACUUCUAUAUUAAAAUAUCAGAAUAAAAGGGUUUUGUGGUGAUUAAAAUUGUGUUUUUCAUAUUUGGGAGGAAGGAAGGAAUACUGAGCAACUUUUGAAUUUGUUAGAUCAAUUUGUAGGUAGUGUAUAAAAGCUAACCAUUAAAAGAUUAGAAAUAUAAUCUGUAUCUUCAAAAUUAUUAUGGGGGGAAAAUUAAUAUAGAAAAGUUUGUCAACCAACAAAAGGCUAGGAAAGAAGGGUAAAAAAGAAAUAAGAAAAGAUAAUAAAUAGAAAACCAAAAUGGUAUGGUAGAGUGAAAUCCAAAUUUGUCAACAUUAUAAUAAAUUUUACUAAAUUAACAUUAAAAGACAUUUUCACAUGACAAGGAGCACAUAAACCAACUACAUGCACUUUAUAAGAAAUACAGCAUAACAAAAUCACAAAGAAAUGAUGAAAAUAAAAGAAUAGAAAAAUACAUAUUAUAAAAGUACUUAAAAAAAUAAAGAAGUUAGAAUAGUAAUAUCUGUAUCAGACCAAAUAGAA